GCAGGGGCUGCACUCAAUGGCUUGGUGAGUGUAAGAACUCGGCUCCACUCUCACGUUCCACACUGUUUGAGUGGCGGCCUCACCGUAUAACAGUUUGAACUGACAGGCCAAAACAUAAAUCGGUCGCUCAAUAUCCACUCACAGAUGGAGCCAAUAAAUAUAGGGUGUCCGGUCACAUUUCCGGCACAAAGAAACGAACAAUGUGAAUUGAUGUUGUUUGUUUGUUCUAUAGUAAUUGUUCGUUUGACUGUUGUAUAUAAGGCCAGAAUUUCUUGUCUGGAUUUUGUUUUCCGAUCGUGAACGUUGAACAGAAUAGUAGUGCGCGCGUGUGUAAAUUGUAAAAUUGUAUGGUUAAAAGCAUUGUUAGUAAAAGUUAGUAUGAAGGUGUUAAUUGUUUCAAAGUCAUGCAGUUGUUAGUACGUUAUCAAAGCUAAAACACGAAAAGAACACCGACAAACAAAUUAAAAGUGAUAUAAUCCAGAAAAAGGUCCGAUGAGUGGGCCUUUUUCUGUGUAUUUCUUCUCUAACCAUCAGAAGUGACCUGGAAGUAGUUUUCCCGGAUGAUCGCGUCGUUUAACGAUCGGAAAGUGAUCCCGCCAUUCGCCGGCAGAAUUCAUCAUUGCCUUCACCGGCACAAUCGGCGUCUUUCGCUACCAACAUUCGAAGGCUCCGUCGCCAUCUUCAAUAGUUGGUCUUGACAACCGACCAACUACAAAUCUGGCCAUUCCCAAUGAACCCGAGACCCACAUCACCACAUCACGCACAUCCGGAUCCGGAAUAAUGAGAGCAAGUACCCUUAAUUAUGUGA
Long non-coding RNA from Aedes aegypti (yellow fever mosquito), 808 nucleotides. RefSeq lists it as uncharacterized. NCBI's taxonomy places the organism in Eukaryota, Metazoa, Arthropoda, Insecta, Diptera, Culicidae. The transcript is spliced from 4 exons. The record is from RefSeq and is a predicted model, not a curated record.